This 2904-nucleotide ribosomal RNA is filed under the name Escherichia coli. RNAcentral describes it as "bacterial LSU rRNA". It matches the Rfam family "Bacterial large subunit ribosomal RNA". Lineage: Bacteria; Pseudomonadati; Pseudomonadota; Gammaproteobacteria; Enterobacterales; Enterobacteriaceae. The record is from RNAcentral.
UUAAGCGACUAAGCGUACACGGUGGAUGCCCUGGCAGUCAGAGGCGAUGAAGGACGUGCUAAUCUGCGAUAAGCGUCGGUAAGGUGAUAUGAACCGUUAUAACCGGCGAUUUCCGAAUGGGGAAACCCAGUGUGAUUCGUCACACUAUCAUUAACUGAAUCCAUAGGUUAAUGAGGCGAACCGGGGGAACUGAAACAUCUAAGUACCCCGAGGAAAAGAAAUCAACCGAGAUUCCCCCAGUAGCGGCGAGCGAACGGGGAGCAGCCCAGAGCCUGAAUCAGUGUGUGUGUUAGUGGAAGCGUCUGGAAAGGCGUGCGAUACAGGGUGACAGCCCCGUACACAAAAAUGCACAUACUGUGAGCUCGAUGAGUAGGGCGGGACACGUGGUAUCCUGUCUGAAUAUGGGGGGACCAUCCUCCAAGGCUAAAUACUCCUGACUGACCGAUAGUGAACCAGUACCGUGAGGGAAAGGCGAAAAGAACCCCGGCGAGGGGAGUGAAAAAGAACCUGAAACCGUGUACGUACAAGCAGUGGGAGCACAGAGCAAUCUGUGUGACUGCGUACCUUUUGUAUAAUGGGUCAGCGACUUAUAUUCUGUAGCAAGGUUAACCGAAUAGGGGAGCCGAAGGGAAACCGAGUCUUAACUGGGCGUUAAGUUGCAGGGUAUAGACCCGAAACCCGGUGAUCUAGCCAUGGGCAGGUUGAAGGUUGGGUAACACUAACUGGAGGACCGAACCGACUAAUGUUGAAAAAUUAGCGGAUGACUUGUGGCUGGGGGUGAAAGGCCAAUCAAACCGGGAGAUAGCUGGUUCUCCCCGAAAGCUAUUUAGGUAGCGCCUCGUGAAUUCAUCUCCGGGGGUAGAGCACUGUUUCGGCAAGGGGGUCAUCCCGACUUACCAACCCGAUGCAAACUGCGAAUACCGGAGAAUGUUAUCACGGGAGACACACGGCGGGUGCUAACGUCCGUCGUGAAGAGGGAAACAACCCAGACCGCCAGCUAAGGUCCCAAAGUCAUGGUUAAGUGGGAAACGAUGUGGGAAGGCCCAGACAGCCAGGAUGUUGGCUUAGAAGCAGCCAUCAUUUAAAGAAAGCGUAAUAGCUCACUGGUCGAGUCGGCCUGCGCGGAAGAUGUAACGGGGCUAAACCAUGCACCGAAGCUGCGGCAGCGACGCUUAUGCGUUGUUGGGUAGGGGAGCGUUCUGUAAGCCUGCGAAGGUGUGCUGUGAGGCAUGCUGGAGGUAUCAGAAGUGCGAAUGCUGACAUAAGUAACGAUAAAGCGGGUGAAAAGCCCGCUCGCCGGAAGACCAAGGGUUCCUGUCCAACGUUAAUCGGGGCAGGGUGAGUCGACCCCUAAGGCGAGGCCGAAAGGCGUAGUCGAUGGGAAACAGGUUAAUAUUCCUGUACUUGGUGUUACUGCGAAGGGGGGACGGAGAAGGCUAUGUUGGCCGGGCGACGGUUGUCCCGGUUUAAGCGUGUAGGCUGGUUUUCCAGGCAAAUCCGGAAAAUCAAGGCUGAGGCGUGAUGACGAGGCACUACGGUGCUGAAGCAACAAAUGCCCUGCUUCCAGGAAAAGCCUCUAAGCAUCAGGUAACAUCAAAUCGUACCCCAAACCGACACAGGUGGUCAGGUAGAGAAUACCAAGGCGCUUGAGAGAACUCGGGUGAAGGAACUAGGCAAAAUGGUGCCGUAACUUCGGGAGAAGGCACGCUGAUAUGUAGGUGAAGUCCCUCGCGGAUGGAGCUGAAAUCAGUCGAAGAUACCAGCUGGCUGCAACUGUUUAUUAAAAACACAGCACUGUGCAAACACGAAAGUGGACGUAUACGGUGUGACGCCUGCCCGGUGCCGGAAGGUUAAUUGAUGGGGUUAGCGCAAGCGAAGCUCUUGAUCGAAGCCCCGGUAAACGGCGGCCGUAACUAUAACGGUCCUAAGGUAGCGAAAUUCCUUGUCGGGUAAGUUCCGACCUGCACGAAUGGCGUAAUGAUGGCCAGGCUGUCUCCACCCGAGACUCAGUGAAAUUGAACUCGCUGUGAAGAUGCAGUGUACCCGCGGCAAGACGGAAAGACCCCGUGAACCUUUACUAUAGCUUGACACUGAACAUUGAGCCUUGAUGUGUAGGAUAGGUGGGAGGCUUUGAAGUGUGGACGCCAGUCUGCAUGGAGCCGACCUUGAAAUACCACCCUUUAAUGUUUGAUGUUCUAACGUUGACCCGUAAUCCGGGUUGCGGACAGUGUCUGGUGGGUAGUUUGACUGGGGCGGUCUCCUCCUAAAGAGUAACGGAGGAGCACGAAGGUUGGCUAAUCCUGGUCGGACAUCAGGAGGUUAGUGCAAUGGCAUAAGCCAGCUUGACUGCGAGCGUGACGGCGCGAGCAGGUGCGAAAGCAGGUCAUAGUGAUCCGGUGGUUCUGAAUGGAAGGGCCAUCGCUCAACGGAUAAAAGGUACUCCGGGGAUAACAGGCUGAUACCGCCCAAGAGUUCAUAUCGACGGCGGUGUUUGGCACCUCGAUGUCGGCUCAUCACAUCCUGGGGCUGAAGUAGGUCCCAAGGGUAUGGCUGUUCGCCAUUUAAAGUGGUACGCGAGCUGGGUUUAGAACGUCGUGAGACAGUUCGGUCCCUAUCUGCCGUGGGCGCUGGAGAAUUGAGGGGGGCUGCUCCUAGUACGAGAGGACCGGAGUGGACGCAUCACUGGUGUUCGGGUUGUCAUGCCAAUGGCACUGCCCGGUAGCUAAAUGCGGAAGAGAUAAGUGCUGAAAGCAUCUAAGCACGAAACUUGCCCCGAGAUGAGUUCUCCCUGACUCCUUGAGAGUCCUGAAGGAACGUUGAAGACGACGACGUUGAUAGGCCGGGUGUGUAAGCGCAGCGAUGCGUUGAGCUAACCGGUACUAAUGAACCGUGAGGCUUAACCUU